UUUUUUUUUUUUUUUUUUUUUUUUUUUUAUGUCACUAGGUCGGCAAACAAGCGUACGGCUCACCUGGUGGUAAGCGAUUACCGUAGCUUAUAGACGCCUGCAACACCAGAAGCAUGGCAAGCGCGUUGCCGACCCAAUCCCCAAUCCCCCCCCCAGGAGCUCUGGUCACCUUACUCACCAACAGGAACACAAUACUGCUUGAAAACAGUAUUAUUUUGCUGUGAUCUUCUGUAAGGUCGAGGUACUACCCCAGUCGGGCUGCUCCAUAUUUUGAGCAGGAAAUUCCUGCUGUGCCCUACCUCAUUUAGGCUAAUUAAGAU
Molecule: unclassified non-coding RNA, 320 nt
Filed under: Melitaea cinxia (Glanville fritillary)
Lineage: Eukaryota; Metazoa; Arthropoda; Insecta; Lepidoptera; Nymphalidae
Description: misc RNA ENSMCXG00005009001.1
Source: RNAcentral